AUUGCCCUUAGAGGUGUUACAGAUGUGGAUGCUGUGUCACAUGUGUGACAGUUGGCGGUAGAGAGGAAACGGGUUAUUUCUAUGCUCAGUGUUCUGUUCUAUAAAUAUCUGUAUGAUUAUUAGCCUAACAUU
Rattus norvegicus (Norway rat) is the source of this 132-nucleotide small nucleolar RNA. Ensembl annotates it as small nucleolar RNA SNORA17. Lineage: Eukaryota; Metazoa; Chordata; Mammalia; Rodentia; Muridae. The record is from Ensembl.